CCCAAGGUCACCCAGAGAAAUAGGCAGUACCAGCUCUGCAAAUCAAACCAAUUGCUUAAGCCAAACUUCUGUGAUAAACACACUUAAAGUAGGUGUGAGAGAAAAGUCAGAAGGGUUUAUCCCACUUGAGAUUAACAGGCAGUGUAGUUUGUCUUCAACUAAAGUGCUGAUGGAUAAAAGGCAAAAUCUGGUUAAAAAAAAGAAAAAACCACAGAAGAGCAUCCCCAGGACUUCAGAGACUAUAAAUAUAAUUCAGAAAGCUUUUGAAAAAAUGGAGUUUAGGAAACGGUCAUUCUGCAAGAGAAAUGAACAGCUACGAAAAGUAUACAAGUGCUGAUUUGAAAUCCUUUGCUCAAGUCACUUAACCACAACAAAUGUAAGAGUGAAGGCCAAAGAGUUACGCAGACACAUUGUCCAUUACUGUUCUUAACAUUUG
This 436-nucleotide long non-coding RNA is filed under the name Bos indicus x Bos taurus (hybrid cattle). RNAcentral describes it as "lncRNA (ENSBIXG00000018064.1)". The record is from RNAcentral. Lineage: Eukaryota; Metazoa; Chordata; Mammalia; Artiodactyla; Bovidae.